GACGAACGCUGGCGGCGUGCCUAAUACAUGCAAGUAGAACGCACAGUUUAUACCGUAGCUUGCUACACCAUAGACUGUGAGUUGCGAACGGGUGAGUAACGCGUAGGUAACCUGCCUGGUAGCGGGGGAUAACUAUUGGAAACGAUAGCUAAUACCGCAUAAUAUUAAUUAUUGCAUGAUAAUUAAUUGAAAGGUGCAAUUGCACCACUACCAGAUGGACCUGCGUUGUAUUAGCUAGUAGGUGAGGUAACGGCUCACCUAGGCGACGAUACAUAGCCGACCUGAGAGGGUGAUCGGCCACACUGGGACUGAGACACGGCCCAGACUCCUACGGGAGGCAGCAGUAGGGAAUCUUCGGCAAUGGGGGGAACCCUGACCGAGCAACGCCGCGUGAGUGAAGAAGGUUUUCGGAUCGUAAAGCUCUGUUGUUAAGGAAGAACG
Molecule: ribosomal RNA, 441 nt
Filed under: Streptococcus sp. oral taxon E19
Lineage: Bacteria; Bacillati; Bacillota; Bacilli; Lactobacillales; Streptococcaceae
Description: bacterial SSU rRNA
Rfam family: Bacterial small subunit ribosomal RNA
Source: RNAcentral